UUCAAGGCCCAGCCUGUGAAGACUUCCCAGACUACUUCAUCCCAUCAUGCUCUCUCCUUUCUCUGAAUUCUGCUUGGCUGAAUCACACUGAAUUGGGAGUAUGACAGGACUUAUUCAACCCACAAGAGCUUCUCUCUCCAGCAUCCUGAGUGAAAAAGAAAAUUAAAACAACAACAGCAAUAACAACAAAUCAGAACAUGGCGCACUCUCUCUUUGGCGAAAAUG
Non-coding RNA from Phascolarctos cinereus (koala), 225 nucleotides. NCBI's taxonomy places the organism in Eukaryota, Metazoa, Chordata, Mammalia, Diprotodontia, Phascolarctidae. The record is from RefSeq and is a predicted model, not a curated record.